AGGUUACUAUGCCUGUUUGCGGGGAAUGAACCACCUGGAUGCCUUCCUCAAGAAGACGGUGUGUAACUGUCAGAUAGUGAACCUGGGGGCAGGGCUGGACACCACUUUCUGGAGGUUAAAGGAUGAAAACCUCGAAACCAAGUCGACUUUCCGAUGAUUGCUGGCAGGAAAAUACACAACAAAAAAUGGCCACAGCCUAGACUCCAACAGGCACUGCAUCAUCAGUGCUGACCUCAGGGACAUCCCAGGCCUAGAUGACAAACUGAAGAAGUUCCACCUCAACCCAGAAGAAUAGAGCAUCUGGAGUUUCUGGAUGAAAAGGAACUUCUGCAGCAGCUUCUCCAACACUCAGUAUCUGCUGGGCCACCAAGGACAAGUUCAAGCAGGAGUCUCACAAGUUGCUUUCUGAACCUGGACUGUCUUGUCUUAAGCCUCUUUCUCUGUGCCAUGACCAACACUAUCAAGAGAGGAGAGAAAAAACCCAACAACACCUUCACAUCAGACUCAAGCCUUGUCUGCUCUGUGGGAAAUGCAUGGCAUCAGCAGAAUUCUACUGAAUGUGUUUCCGUUGCAUCCCAUAAGAGCAACCACUGUCUCCCAACAUGCUUUUGUGAAGAGAAGGGAUGUUUCUGCUGGAAGUGUGAUACAGUGCAUUCGGAAAGUAUUCAGACCCAAUGACAUUUUCCACAUUUUGUUAUGUUAAAGCCUUAUUCUAAAAUUGAUUACAUACAUUUUUUUCCUCAUCAAUCUACGCACAAUAC
Long non-coding RNA from Oncorhynchus tshawytscha (Chinook salmon), 761 nucleotides. RefSeq lists it as uncharacterized. The transcript is spliced from 5 exons. Lineage: Eukaryota; Metazoa; Chordata; Actinopteri; Salmoniformes; Salmonidae. The record is from RefSeq and is a predicted model, not a curated record.